RNAcentral lists this non-coding RNA (23 nucleotides) under Arabidopsis thaliana (thale cress). The record is from RNAcentral. Lineage: Eukaryota; Viridiplantae; Streptophyta; Magnoliopsida; Brassicales; Brassicaceae.
GCCACCUAUGUCAUCAAAGUGCA